Long non-coding RNA from Apodemus sylvaticus (European woodmouse), 594 nucleotides. RefSeq lists it as uncharacterized. The record is from RefSeq and is a predicted model, not a curated record. The transcript has 3 exons. NCBI's taxonomy places the organism in Eukaryota, Metazoa, Chordata, Mammalia, Rodentia, Muridae.
CGUUUACUUUUUCAUGAUUUUAUUUUACUUUUCAGUUAUUAUUCCAGGUGUGUGACGUGUACGACGGGGAGUGAUUAUACUACAGUGCACACUUGGAGGUCAGAGGACAAGUUGUACAGUCCUCUUCUUCUUCAAGUCUCCCUGCUCAGGCCAGCCUCAAACUGCCCAGCACAGAGGUCGAUGAAUGAUGUCUGUUCUCAGUGGGAAAUCAUUACACCCUUUUUUCGGGAAACAAUUGUUAAAUCCAGAAGCGGAAGAAGCUGGAGCCAGCUGUUCCCUGUGCGGGUCAUCUGUGUGCAUGCAGCAUGGUGCAUGCGGCAGGAUGCAUGUGUGGAGGUCAGAAGACAACAUGCAGAAGCUGGUUCUUCUCUUCUUCCACGUGGGACCCCAAGAUCAAACGCGCGUCCCUGGGCCUGGCAGCCUCCGCUCUCCUGUCCUUUUGUAUUGUGGUUUAUGGUUUUCAUAUUAAGUGUUGACGACUUAGCUCCUGGCUGGUAGCACUACACAGAGGUGUGGCCAGUAAGGGUGAUCGUUCACAGAUGAGCUAAUCCAUUCUAGAGUAGUCAAACAGGUCACUUGGGGCACAGCUGGGAA